RNAcentral lists this ribosomal RNA (250 nucleotides) under uncultured bacterium. RNAcentral describes it as "partial 16S ribosomal RNA". It matches the Rfam family "Bacterial small subunit ribosomal RNA", at positions 524 to 773 of the family's 1533-position model. The record is from RNAcentral.
UACGGAGGGGGCUAGCGUUGUUCGGAAUCACUGGGCGUAAAGCGCGCGUAGGCGGCGUACCAAGUUGGGAGUGAAAUCCCGGGGCUUAACCCCGGAACUGCUCUCAAGACUGGUAUGCUAGAGACCGGUAGAGGGUGGUGGAAUUCCUAGUGUAGAGGUGAAAUUCGUAGAUAUUAGGAGGAACACCAGUGGCGAAGGCGGCCACCUGGACCGGUACUGACGCUAAAGUGCGAAAGCGUGGGUAGCAAAC